Molecule: ribosomal RNA, 253 nt
Filed under: uncultured bacterium
Lineage: Bacteria
Description: partial 16S ribosomal RNA
Rfam family: Bacterial small subunit ribosomal RNA
Source: RNAcentral
UACGUAGGUGGCAAGCGUUGUCCGGAUUUACUGGGCGUAAAGCGUAUGCAGGCGGAUCUUUAAGUAGAAAGUGAAAGGUUGGGGCUUAACUCCAACACUGCUCUCUAUACUGGAGGUCUUGAGUGCCGGAGAGGAAGAUGGAACUGCACGUGUAGCGGUGAAAUGCGUUGAGAUGUGCAGGAACACCAAUGGCGAAGGCAAUCUUCUGGACGGAUACUGACGCUGAGAUACGAAAGCCAAGGGAGCGAACAGG